AUACGGAGGAUCCAAGCGUUAUCCGGAAUCAUUGGGUUUAAAGGGUCCGUAGGCGGGUUUGUAAGUCAGUGGUGAAAGUUUUCGGCUCAACCGGAAAAUUGCCAUUGAUACUGCAAGUCUUGAAUCGUGAUGAAGUGGUUAGAAUGUGUAGUGUAGCGGUGAAAUGCAUAGAUAUUACACAGAAUACCGAUUGCGAAGGCAGAUCACUAAUAAUGUAUUGACGCUAAGGGACGAAAGCGUGGGUAGCGAACAGCAUUAGAAACCCUAGUAGUCC
Molecule: ribosomal RNA, 274 nt
Filed under: uncultured bacterium
Lineage: Bacteria
Description: partial 16S ribosomal RNA
Rfam family: Bacterial small subunit ribosomal RNA
Source: RNAcentral